This 201-nucleotide long non-coding RNA is filed under the name Arabidopsis lyrata. RNAcentral's name for it is "long non-coding RNA (ALYR_LNC003101)". The record is from RNAcentral. Lineage: Eukaryota; Viridiplantae; Streptophyta; Magnoliopsida; Brassicales; Brassicaceae.
CCCACGAACUUGGAACUCCAUGCACCUCAAGCGAUACUACUACUGACGACCUCGCUCUCCUUAUAUAUAUAUAUAUAUAAAAAAAAAAAAAAAAAAAAAAAAAAAAAAAAAAAAAAAGGUAGCUCGGCCUUACCGAUGCCUCUCUAUGUAAUGUGAACUACGAACGGCUUGAUCCCUCCGAUCAGGGGGUACGUAGGCAGC